UACUGAGAGGUGAAUUAAAAGAGAAUUGGUUAAAAAUAAUUAAAUGAUUUGUUUAAGCAAAGUGAUCUUUAAAUUUGUACUGAUAAAGGGUGAAAUCAACUUUUUGGUAUGCAAGUAGUUAGAUUUUCUUAAAUUAAAUUGAAGUUAUUAAGGUAGAGGUAUGAACCAGGAUUAGAUACCCUGUUACACUUUACUUAAAAUUGAAAUACCUGGGUAUUAAACAGUUAUUAUCUUGAAACUCAAAGGAUUUGGCGGUAGCUUAGUCUAUUUAGAGGAACCUGUCCUGUAAUCGAUAGUCCACGGAGAAUCUUACUUUAUUUUGUAGAGUUCAGUUUGUAUACCGUCAUUAUUAGAUAACUUUAAUAAGAUUUUUAGUUAUUGUAAUAAUUUUUUUUCUUAGAAUAUUAGAUCAAGGUGCAGCUUAUAAUAAAGGAGAGAUGGGUUACAAUAAUAUAAAUGUAUAUGGAUUAAAGAAAGAAUAUUUUUUAUGAAAGUGGAUUUAAUGGUAAAAUAAUUUUAAUAAGAUUUUUUGAUUGUAGCUCUAGGCUAUGUACACAUCGCCCGUCGCUCUCGUUAAUUAAAGC
Molecule: ribosomal RNA, 584 nt
Filed under: Parapenaeus fissurus
Lineage: Eukaryota; Metazoa; Arthropoda; Malacostraca; Decapoda; Penaeidae
Description: partial 12S ribosomal RNA
Source: RNAcentral